Lagopus leucura (white-tailed ptarmigan) is the source of this 248-nucleotide long non-coding RNA. RefSeq lists it as uncharacterized. The record is from RefSeq and is a predicted model, not a curated record. NCBI's taxonomy places the organism in Eukaryota, Metazoa, Chordata, Aves, Galliformes, Phasianidae. The transcript is spliced from 3 exons.
CAAAUAUGGAUGAAUUUGUUUUUCUUCUCUGCUGAUGGUGGGACUGCAAUACUGAAGGACUUGUUUAUGAAAAUGCUAUUGCAAAUGUGAGAAUCAGAACAUGCCUGCCUCCCUAACAGAACUACGUAGGAAACUUGGGGAAGACAAAGAUGAGUUUUCUGAGUGGUGCUGAAUAUAUCAGUUAUAUCCCUGGGAUUUAGCCAUAAAACAACGAAGAGAGGUACAGAACUAUUACACCUCACAACUCG